GGAGAGAUGUCCGAGCGGUUGAAGGAGCACGCCUGGAAAGCGUGUAGGCUGAAAGGUCUCGUGGGUUCGAACCCCACUCUCUCCGCCA
This 88-nucleotide transfer RNA is filed under the name Candidatus Goldiibacteriota bacterium HGW-Goldbacteria-1. RNAcentral's name for it is "Candidatus Goldbacteria bacterium HGW-Goldbacteria-1 tRNA-Ser". It matches the Rfam family "tRNA". Rfam says of the family: Transfer RNA (tRNA) molecules are approximately 80 nucleotides in length. Their secondary structure includes four short double-helical elements and three loops (D, anti-codon, and T loops). Lineage: Bacteria; Candidatus Goldiibacteriota. The record is from RNAcentral. RNAcentral also lists the same sequence under 1 other name.